GAAGAAGAGGAAAACCAAACCACCAACAACACAACAGAAGAGAAGAAAAAGAAAGGAAAAAUGGCAAGCAAAUACGUUGCAUUGUUGUUGGUGAUGUGCCUCAUAAUCUCUGAUGUCAAUGCCCUCCCUCCACCCUGCGUAAGAGAUUGUGUCGAUAAUCAUUGCGACAAAGACUACAGAAGCUGGUGCGCAAUGGCUUGUGGUAUGAAGUGCGCCUACAUGAGAUUGGGAGGAGUAAAAGCUAGUAGGAAUGCUCAAACUGAAAGUCUACCAAGGAGUUAACCCAGAAAGUGGGAAACAAGCCCUACCAAAAGCGGCAGAGAAUAAGGUUCUUCCACAAACAGGGCCAAAGAAUUGAAAGACCCUAUAGCAUCAGUUGAAUUGAGAUAUAUUGUCCUCCUUUUCUCUGCUUGCCAUUAACUACCAUUAUAAUUAAUAUAAAUAUUCUCCAUGUUCUUCUGAUUC
Long non-coding RNA from Cajanus cajan (pigeon pea), 465 nucleotides. RefSeq lists it as uncharacterized. NCBI's taxonomy places the organism in Eukaryota, Viridiplantae, Streptophyta, Magnoliopsida, Fabales, Fabaceae. The record is from RefSeq and is a predicted model, not a curated record.